This is a long non-coding RNA of Spinacia oleracea (spinach), 2805 nucleotides long. RefSeq lists it as uncharacterized. NCBI's taxonomy places the organism in Eukaryota, Viridiplantae, Streptophyta, Magnoliopsida, Caryophyllales, Amaranthaceae. The transcript has 6 exons. The record is from RefSeq and is a predicted model, not a curated record.
CUAACAUUUUCUCUCUCCUCACUCAAUUUCUCUCUCCCUCACUCACGUCAAUCUCUUUCUCCUCAAUGAAUUUGCUUGAAAAUACACUUGAAAAACCGAAAAUUAUAUCGUAAUUUCGCGAAGAUUGCAAAGAUUUUGAGAACUUUCAGCUUGAAAAUUGCAUUUUCUGGUGCCGGAGCUUCGAUUUUUCCGGGGACUGAACUACUAAGGUGUUUUCUCUCCUCUCUUUGUUUACUUUUGAAUAUGAUUGUGAGUUGAUAGUCAAUUUUAGCUUGAUUUUACUGAUUUUUGGAGCAAAUUCAGUCGAAAUCAAUUUCUAGGUAUAAGGCUUGAUCGAGUUUUAUGUGUUUUAUGCUUCAUUGAGUUUUAGGUACCUUAUUCAACUUUAAAUUAUCACUCAGCUUCUAAUUUAGCAGAGUUAUUCAAAUCUGAAUAAAGUAAACUAACAUCUCUUAAAAGUAAACUAAUAUCUCUGAAAUAUGAAGACACUGCAGUCUAGGGCCCUUGACAGAUCCAACUUAUUGAUGUAACCUUUUCCGAAAUGUUAGGAGAGUUAACCAGUGGUAAUAAUACACUGUGCUGUUAAAGAAAUCAGUCUUGGAAACUAGCUAGCAAAACCUGUACAGAGGAAAGCGAUAAAGAAUAGCAAAUACACCUCACAAACAGUCUGCUAAUCGUUGCUCAAACACCCUGCAAUUUGAACUUUUCCUUUCUAUAAGGUUGUGUGCUUAUCAUCUGCAGGUCUGCAACUCUAUGGUCCUAGGAACUAUAAAUAAAUACGGGCAGUUGAUAUCAUCUAUGAUUUAAGUUGACUUUUAAAUUAGUUCCAUUUACUUUUCUGAGUUGUUUAUCUACUUUUGAAAAUGUGAUACAACUUGAGAUUUUGUUUAUGAGAUUUACUUUUAAAUUAGUUCCAUUUACUUUUCAGAGUUAUUUAUCUACUUUUGAAAAUGUGAUGUGUGUGUUGUUAUUUACCAUGUGUUACUAGACGAGAUAGGCUCUUCACCAGAUGAUCUGCAAGAGUUGGUUCACCCUUUAUACUAUGUGUGCCAGAGAAGCACCACAUUUGUAUCAAUAGUUGCACCAAUUCGAUAUGCUCACCUAGCAGCCAGCCAAGUAUCACAGUUCCUCAAGUAUGAGGACCUAUAAGAAAUAUCAUCAGGUCAUGGAUGUGUGACAUCUGCUGGAAGUCUUCCUGUGCCUGAGCUCCCCAAGCUGCAUGACAGAAUGAACCUGGUAAGCAAGUUAGGAGUGCUAAAAAGAUUAGAAAUACAAGCAAGUCUCAUGUAGCUUUCAAGGAGCUAUUCUGCACUUGUGAUUCAAGCUGUUUCGUGAUUUCACUCCAAAGUUUCUCAAAGAUAUAGGUAAGAUUUCUAGAUUUUAAUUUCUGUAAAAUUUUUCUUUGAGCUUGAUUCACAUAGUGCUUGAAUAUAAUAUAAUGUAUGUUUCUCAUAUGAUUAUCUGAUUGAACUUAUGAUCGGUUUUAAGCUUCAUAGAAGUGAAUCAAUUAGCUACACAAAUGUGUUAAAAGUAAACCAAUUUUUUGCAAAAGUAAACUAAAACUUAAUAAUAUUAUCAAAUUUUAUUUUUAAAAGUAAAGUAGUUAGUCUCAAAAGUAAAUAAAUAUUAGUAAAAGUAGAUUAAUUAAACUAGCUUAAAGUAAAUAUUCUAAAUUAUAUAAGUGUCUGUGCAACAACUCUUUUACUCCUAUACUUGGCUUGAUACUUAUUUUCUUAAUGUUAUCACAGUUUGCAAGAGGAAAUAAGUUAGCCUAAUUAUUGUGAGUUGCUGCCUCUGGUGCUUUUUCUCCUCUGGUGCUUUUUUUGUUAUAGGUCAACUAUGCCAGAGUUGACAUUUUGAUUUGCAGAGCUUGUGAAUAAAUUAGCUAGUUAAAGACUUAAAGUAAAUAAUUAGGAGUAGGUGUUGCACUUAGUGAUCUCACAUGUUAUCUAACUCAAAAGUAAAGCAAAAACUGAAAAAAAAAAAGAAUAAAAAUGAUACAAAAGUAAAUAAAAUAUAUCCAUGUUCUGGUUGUUAGGUACUGUAGGUCAUGUGACGCAAGUUGAUUAGGUUGACUUUGUGCUAUUAGUUUCUAUUUCAGUCAGGCUGCUGGCUAGUUGUUGGCCUUAGUUGACUAGGGAUGGUGCACAAUCUGUUGUUGGUCUACAGAGGUUGUAGACCAUGUAUGUGGAUGGCUAAACCUCUUCCCUCCUGCACAGUGCAGUAGCACAUUUUGCUGUUCUUUUUGUUGAUGCUGGUGCAGGCUUUCCUAAUGUGGUUGCAGACCAAUUGUUGAUCUCUUACUUUCACAUGUCUUACAUUGCUCUUAACUUGGUACCUUGGGAAUGACUUGGGCUAAAAAAAAUUAACCCUUUUCGUUCUCCGUCUCUCUAUUCUUGAGAAGGCAGCUAGUGGGUUAGGGACUUUAGGCUUUAUCUGGGCAAUUGUGGUUCUUCUUGGCGGGUUUGCUAUAACUUUAGCUAAAUCAGAUUUUUGGAUUACAACAAUCACACUGUUGACUGAAGUAACAAUGAUUUUUAGUAGAUGCCAUGACUCGAGUGGCAGCGCCAAUCCACAUGGUCGCUUACAGGUGCUAGGAUAAACAAUUUCCUACUACUGAAAUCGGGCUCCAUUAAAAUCUGGACCGCACUUAGUUCAGUCUUCAGAGCUCGGAGUUUAGAUGGCAGGCGAAUAAAUGCUAGCAGAGGAGAAAGUAAACUAAAUCUCUCUGAAAGUAAACUAAAUCUCUGUAAAAGUAAACAAAAUGAUAAUGGAACUUUGGUUGUAAUUUUUUUCUUAAAUAUU